Cervus elaphus (red deer) is the source of this 1750-nucleotide long non-coding RNA. RefSeq lists it as uncharacterized. Lineage: Eukaryota; Metazoa; Chordata; Mammalia; Artiodactyla; Cervidae. The transcript has 3 exons. The record is from RefSeq and is a predicted model, not a curated record.
AUAUAUAUGGGUGCCCUCGCAGAGGCAUGAACACUUGUAAUAAAAUCGUAGCCUCCUGGCCAGCCUGAGCCGCACAGCCUGACAGCUCAAUCACUCUAUCCAUCAGGCGAGUCAAUCAAAGCAGCUUUUCGGAGGUUCAGGGAGCCCGAUGUGUCAAUAACGGGGCUCGAGAUGGCGGGGGCUGAUAGCGCUCAUCGAUCCGCGCCCGGCCAGCAGCGGUGGGAAGUCAGAGACCAGUCGGAGUGGAGCGCCGCACCGCGACGCCAGCCCGGCCUCCUGCCAGACCCGGCCGCUGAACCCCAGUCGUAGGCCAGAACCCCUGCCGCCCUUCUCGAGGCGCCCAUCAGCCUCCUGGGAGCUGCGGUCCCUGGAGGCAGGCAGGCCACAGCCUCCUCUCCAGGGGCCUCAUGGCUGCCCCUGAGUACCUCUCGGCCUGGGGUUCUCCAAGCUCAAAGAGUUAUCUGAACCUUGAGCCAAAAUACACCAAAGAAGAGAUUCUCCUCACAUCCUCUACCUCCUGGAAGUUACAGAGUUCUCCUGGAACGGCUGGUCUUCAGACACCAUCGCCAGCAGCUUCUGAUGGCCUGUGACCGGCUGCAUCGGCUCCGUCUCAGGGCAGAUCCUCGCCAGCAGAUGAGCCCCCCAUGCAGGAGCCCCUAGCACAGUGCCCGCUUUCCCAGCCCACAGGCUUACAGGGUGUACUGUGGCUCUGAGCCCCAGGCAGGGCCCCGGAGGAUGCCAGGGAAGCUGUGAACACCCUGCUGUCAGAAUCACCAUGAUUAUCUCUGGCACCUUCAUCAGAGGUGCCCUCAGCCAGAACUCACAGGUACCUGUAGACGCUCUUGAGCCACCCUGCUCCGUAGCACAUCAAGCAGGCUGAGAAGCGCAGGCGGAGGACCGUGGUCUCUCCUGAGGGUCCCAGGAAGGAAGCAGGGGCUGCAGAGGUGCCAGUGGGCCCCAGAAGGACAGAACCGUGUCCCUUUGAUCCCCACUGUGUCUGAGCAGAGAACCUGGCCUUCAAGGGCAGCACGGCUUACAGCUGAAUGAAUGAAAGCAAGUGGCGCUCGCUGAACCCAUCAGAUGACAGUCCAGACAGAGGUCAGCUGUAGCUGUGGGCGCUUUAAUGCAGUACUGACUGUAUGCAGAGCCCUGCUGAGUAUCAGACCCUGUCUAGUCCAGACUUCAUGACACCACGUGAAGGGGCAAUUUGUAUCCCUAUUUACAGAUGAUAACUUCAGGCACAUGGAGGUCAGGAGCCUUUCUGAAGGUCUUCCCAGCCAGCUUGGCUCCAAAGUCUGAGUCAUUUCUGUCCUGGGCUGCUGCUCAAGGGCAGUCCACCUGCCCUCCCCUCACAGUGGGGCUGGACCACUGUCUACUGUCCUUCUCUCUUUUCUGUAGAGAAACAACUGCCGGAGCCUGGAGGAGAGACUCCACCGGCUUUCUCUGAGGGCAAGGAGCCAGGAGGCAAGGACUGGGGAGAGGCUGAGAGAAGGGAAGGUUGGGGGGGUGGGGAGGAAGGAGAGACUCCCCCUUUUCUGGGAUGGGUUCCUGCUGCAUGGUCCAUCCUGCUUUCAAACCCUCUUCCCCCUUCAUGAUCUGAAUCACAGCUUCUCUAUUAGCUUGAGGAUUCCCCUUAACACCUCCUUGUGUUUCUCCUUUCUUGAUAGCUCAGCUAUAUCUGGCAGAGAAGGCAAUGGCACUCCACUCCAGUACUCUUGCCUGGAAAAUCCCAUGGACGGAGGAGCCUGGC